CUCACAGCGUUUUCGUAAGCUUCGUUGGUUUCAACAGCAGCUCUAGUUGCACUGAUGCCCAUUUUGUACCAAUAAAGCAUCAGGUGACGAAUUGGCUGAUAGCGGCCGACCGGAUUUUGACCCGCCCUCUAGAAAAAAUGAGUUGCGGAAGAAUUCCGCUCAUAAUUUUUUUCAACUCCCAGGACAUGUGGAAUUUUCAUUGAGUGGUCAGAUGACCAUUACCUCUUUCGUCGGGGUCACCACGAGCAAAAAAUCAAAAUGGCUAAAAUUUUGAUUUUUAAUGGGUCGAAUUCCAGAGGCUGGCUAGCACUUCCGGUAGCCAAAGUUGGAAAAAAUUUAUUUUUGAAUUAAAGCCUGGUUAUCAAAGAAUAAAUCGAGGUCAUACAUGA
Dermatophagoides farinae (American house dust mite) is the source of this 389-nucleotide non-coding RNA. Lineage: Eukaryota; Metazoa; Arthropoda; Arachnida; Sarcoptiformes; Pyroglyphidae. The record is from RefSeq and is a predicted model, not a curated record.